GGCUCCAUAGUGUAGUGGUUAGCACAUUUGCUUUACACGCAGAAAGUCCUGGGUUCGUGACCCAGGUAGAGCCA
Non-coding RNA from Pteropus alecto (black flying fox), 74 nucleotides. NCBI's taxonomy places the organism in Eukaryota, Metazoa, Chordata, Mammalia, Chiroptera, Pteropodidae. The record is from Rfam.